This 253-nucleotide ribosomal RNA is filed under the name uncultured bacterium. Its description in RNAcentral is "partial 16S ribosomal RNA". It matches the Rfam family "Bacterial small subunit ribosomal RNA", at positions 524 to 776 of the family's 1533-position model. The record is from RNAcentral.
GACAGAGGUGCCAAGCGUUAGGCGGAAUCACUGGGCUUAAAGCGUGUGUAGGCGGACUUCUAAGUACCUUGUGAAAUCCCACGGCUUACCCGUGGAACUGCUCGGUAUACUGGUUGUCUUGAGCCACCUAGGGGCGAGUGGAACAAAUGGUGGAGCGGUGAAAUGCGUAGAUAUCAUUUGGAACGCCAAUGGUGAAAACAACUCGCUGGGGGUGUGCUGACGCUGAGACACGAAAGCCAGGGGAGCGAACGGG